GACUGUGAGGAGGAACACAACCAGAGGAACCAGGACUCAGUGUGGAGACCAGUGGGGAUUAUUUGAUGGUUCUUCGUGCAACAUCAGCUCGUUAAGCUUAAGCAGCAGUGGAGUUUACUGGUGUGAGUCCAGAGAGGGAGCAGCCAGCAGCAGCAUCCAGCUCACUGUCACUGACGGAUCUUCAACCUUAGCUCCGCCCACUUCUUCAUCUCCUCCUGCCUCAGAUUCCCUGCAGGUCAGGCUGGUCUGCCACCUGGUGGUCUUCUGUCCGUACAUCGUCUCCUCUCUCCUCCUGGUGUUUUCUUAAUGACACAGAGCCAAAGACUAGAGGAAGUGACCCGCCUGCCUCCUUGUCGAUAACUCCUCCCUCCCAGGAUGAUCAGGGAUUGGACGAUAAUUAUGUCGACAGUUA
Long non-coding RNA from Fundulus heteroclitus (mummichog), 412 nucleotides. RefSeq lists it as uncharacterized. The transcript is spliced from 3 exons. Lineage: Eukaryota; Metazoa; Chordata; Actinopteri; Cyprinodontiformes; Fundulidae. The record is from RefSeq and is a predicted model, not a curated record.